RNAcentral lists this unclassified non-coding RNA (400 nucleotides) under uncultured Gammaproteobacteria bacterium. Its description in RNAcentral is "contains 16S-23S intergenic spacer region". It matches the Rfam family "Bacterial small subunit ribosomal RNA", at positions 771 to 1180 of the family's 1533-position model. The record is from RNAcentral. Lineage: Bacteria; Pseudomonadati; Pseudomonadota; Gammaproteobacteria.
UCCUGGUUAACCCUGGUAGUCCACGCCCUAAACGAUGGCAACUGGGUGUUGGGGGAGCGAUCUCCUGGUACCGUAGCUAACGCGUGAAGUUGCCCGCCUGGGGAGUACGGCCGCAAGGUUAAAACUCAAAGGAAUUGACGGGGACCCGCACAAGCGGUGGAUGAUGUGGAUUAAUUCGAUGCAACGCGAACAACCUUACCUACCCUUGACAUGUGCCGAAGCCUGCUGAGAGGCGGGUGUGCCUGAAAGGGAACGGCAACACAGGUGCUGCAUGGCUGUCGUCAGCUCGUGUCGUGAGAUGUUGGGUUAAGUCCCGCAACGAGCGCAACCCUUGUCCCUAGUUGCUACGCAAGGGCACUCUAGGGAGACUGCCGGUGACAAACCGGAGGAAGGUGGGGAU